Molecule: long non-coding RNA, 1013 nt
Organism: Onychomys torridus (southern grasshopper mouse)
Lineage: Eukaryota; Metazoa; Chordata; Mammalia; Rodentia; Cricetidae
Exons: 3
Source: RefSeq, a predicted model, not a curated record
GCCUUCCUGAUGAGGAUGUUCCUAGAGAUUACUUGAUUUGCAGGCCCCUGUCACAAUGAGCACACUGCAGCCGUCCUUCAGUCGAGAAAUGUUUUCCUGGAUGAGCCUUAUUUUGUCAUCGUGGCAUGAGACAGUGACUAGUGGAAGGAGGGUCUAUAUGCACUGUACUCAGAACAGGAAGGAUGACUGUGUGACAUUAUGCAGAGUUAUCACCACACAGUUUUGUCACACGUUUCUGUAAAGCCAUUAAACUUUUGGCUGCUUUUUAAAUUUUUUUUUUUUGGUUAUUUAUUUAUUUUAGGGCCAAGUGAAAUGUUAAAAAUGAACUCUCACUCAGCUUGGUGCCUUGCUCAGAGGGUGAUGGCAGACAGCCACCGGCUGUGCCCUUUCUGGCUGGAGUGUUGGUAUCUCACCAGGAUGGUUUUGCAUUCUGUGACAGGGCCGCUCUCUACUGUGCCUCCUUAGAGUUCAUCAAUGCUCUUCACGAUUAUGAUGCCAACUGUUACCUUCAAAAUCCUCGGAAGGAAGUGGUCAGGGAGGACUCACCAUGAACUAGAACUGCUAGAUAUGUGAGAGACUUACCUGCCAGGCCUCCACCUUCUUGAUGUCUGCACAGGACCCAUUGGUGAAAAGCCCUCUUCCAGGAAGCUCAAGGUGAAAUGCUGGUCCCUUCUCGAAGCCACAAGAUGCGGAGGGAAAGUGCUGCUCUCUGAGGAGCUGAGUGAGCUCAUGGCCUCUGAGGUGUCUCCCAGCUAAUCGAGGUGACACUGUGGCAAUCACAUCCUACUACAGAGCUGUGGCUGGAAGCCACAUUCUAAAGGGUCACAGUCAAGGAAAGAGCAACAGAUGGGGGACAGAGCAGUGAGGGCCUGAAAGAAAUCACGUGUAAGAGGAGCUGACUGGAAAAUGGAGACUAUGGACUUGGAGCAGAAAAGAUUUAGGCGGACAUAUUAGCUGCCUUCAGAUGUUUUGGGAGGCCUCAAGAUACCUAACAACCUGUGAUGUCCCAACUA